Molecule: ribosomal RNA, 253 nt
Filed under: uncultured bacterium
Lineage: Bacteria
Description: partial 16S ribosomal RNA
Rfam family: Bacterial small subunit ribosomal RNA
Source: RNAcentral
CACGUAGGGCGCAAGCGUUGUCCGGAAUUAUUGGGCGUAAAGAGCUCGUAGGCGGUCUGUUACGUCUGCUGUGAAAACCCAGGGCUUAACCCUGGGCUUGCAGUGGAUACGGGCAGACUAGAGGCAGGUAGGGGAGAAUGGAAUUCCCGGUGUAGCGGUGAAAUGCGCAGAUAUCGGGAGGAACACCGGUGGCGAAGGCGGUUCUCUGGGCCUGACCUGACGCUGAGGAGCGAAAGCGUGGGUAGCGAACAGG